GAUGAACGCUGGCGGUAUGCUUAACACAUGCAAGUCGAACGGACUCUUCGGAGUUAGUGGCGGACGGGUGAGUAACGCGUGAGAAUCUGGCUUUGGGUUCGGGACAACCACUGGAAACGGUGGCUAAUACCGGAUGUGCCGAGAGGUAAAAGAGAAAUUGCCUGAAGAUGAGCUCGCGUCUGAUUAGCUAGUUGGUGAGGUAAAGGCUCACCAAGGCAGCGAUCAGUAGCUGGUCUGAGAGGAUGACCAGCCACACUGGGACUGAGACACGGCCCAGACCCCUACGGGAGGCAGCAGUGGGGAAUUGUCCGCAAUGGGCGAAAGCCUGACGGAGCAAUACCGCGUGAGGGAAGAAGGCUCUUGGGUUGUAAACCUCUUUUCUUAGGGAAGAACAAAAUGACGGUACCUAAGGAAUCAGCAUCGGCUAACUCCGUG
This 435-nucleotide ribosomal RNA is filed under the name uncultured bacterium. RNAcentral's name for it is "partial 16S ribosomal RNA". It matches the Rfam family "Bacterial small subunit ribosomal RNA", at positions 28 to 507 of the family's 1533-position model. The record is from RNAcentral.